AGUCGAGCGGUAUGGCCCUUCGGGGGUACACGAGCGGCGAACGGGUGAGUAACGCGUGGGUAAUCUGCCUGGAAGUGGGGGAUAGCCCCGGGAAACCGGGGAUAAUACCGCAUAUGUCCGCGAGGACAAAGAUGGGGAUCUUCGGACCUGUCGCUUCCGGAUGAGCCCGCGUCCGAUUAGCUUGUUGGUGGGGUAAUGGCCCACCAAGGCCACGAUCGGUAGCCGGCCUGAGAGGGUGAGCGGCCACAUUGGGACUGAGACACGGCCCAGACUCCUACGGGAGGCAGCAGUGGGGAAUUUUGGGCAAUGGGGGCAACCCUGGACCCAGCGACGCCACGUGGAGGAUGACGGCCUUCGGGUUGUAAACUCCUGUCAGGUGGGAAGAACUCCUGUUGGUGAAUAGCCUUCAGGUCUGACUGUACCACCAAAGGAAGCCCCGGCUAACUCCGUGCCAGCAGCCGCGGUAAUACGGAGGGGGGCAAGCGUUAUUCGGAUUUACUGGGCGUAAAGCGCACGUAGGUGGCAAGGCAAAUCGAAGGUGAAAGCCCCCGGCUCAACCGGGGRGGUGSCUUUGAAACUGUUUUGCUUGAGUCCGGGAGGGGGGAGCACAAUUCCCAGUGUAGCGGUGAAAUGCGUAGAUACUGGGAGGAAUACCGGUGG
Molecule: ribosomal RNA, 660 nt
Filed under: uncultured candidate division OS-K bacterium
Lineage: Bacteria
Description: bacterial SSU rRNA
Rfam family: Bacterial small subunit ribosomal RNA
Source: RNAcentral